UACAGGGGGUGCAAGCGUUAUUCGGAAUUACUGGGCGUAAAGGGCGUGUAGGUGGGCAGACAAGUCAGAUGUGAAAGCCCCGAGCUUAACUUGGGAAUUGCAUUUGAAACUGUAUGUCUAGAGAUUGGGAGAGGGAGGUAGAAUUCCUGGAGUAGAGGUGAAAUUCGUAGAUAUCAGGAGGAAUACCGGAGGCGAAGGCGGCUUCCUGGCCCAAGACUGACACUGAGACGCGAGAGCGUGGGUAGCAAACAGG
This 253-nucleotide ribosomal RNA is filed under the name uncultured bacterium. RNAcentral's name for it is "partial 16S ribosomal RNA". It matches the Rfam family "Bacterial small subunit ribosomal RNA", at positions 524 to 776 of the family's 1533-position model. The record is from RNAcentral.